AGCGGCGGACGGGUGAGUAACGCGUGGGUAACCUGCCUUACACUGGGGGAUAACAUAGUGAAAACUAUGCUAAAACCGCAUAAGACCACGGAAUCACAUGAUUCUGGGGUAAAAACUCCGGUGGUGUAAGAUGGACCCGCGUCUGAUUAGCUAGUUGGUGAGGUAACGGCUCACCAAGGCAACGAUCAGUAGCCGACCUGAGAGGGUGAUCGGCCACAUUGGGACUGAGACACGGCCCAAACUCCUACGGGAGGCAGCAGUGGGGAAUAUUGCACAAUGGAGGAAACUCUGAUGCAGCGACGCCGCGUGAAGGAAGAAGGUCUUCGGAUCGUAAACUUCUAUCAGCAGGGACGAUAAUGACGGUACCUGACUAAGAAGCCCCGGCUAACUACGUGCCAGCAGCCGCGGUAAUACGUAGGGGGCAAGCGUUAUCCGGAAUUACUGGGUGUAAAGGGUGCGUAGGCGGUAAUGUAAGUCAGGUGUGAAAGCCCGGAGCUCAACUUCGGGAUUGCACUUGAAACUACAUAACUAGAGUACAGGAGAGGUGAGUGGAAUUCCUAGUGUAGCGGUGAAAUGCGUAGAUAUUAGGAGGAACACCAGUGGCGAAGGCGACUCACUGGACUGUAACUGACGCUGAGGCACGAAAGCGUGGGGAGCGAACAGGAUUAGAUACCCUGGUAGUCCACGCUGUAAACGAUGAAUGCUAGGUGUCGGCUCGUCAAGGGUCGGUGCCGAAGUUAACACAUUAA
Molecule: ribosomal RNA, 749 nt
Filed under: uncultured bacterium
Lineage: Bacteria
Description: bacterial SSU rRNA
Rfam family: Bacterial small subunit ribosomal RNA
Source: RNAcentral